RNAcentral lists this ribosomal RNA (840 nucleotides) under Xanthoparmelia lineola. Its description in RNAcentral is "eukaryotic LSU rRNA". It matches the Rfam family "Eukaryotic large subunit ribosomal RNA", at positions 81 to 936 of the family's 3401-position model. Lineage: Eukaryota; Fungi; Ascomycota; Lecanoromycetes; Lecanorales; Parmeliaceae. The record is from RNAcentral.
CAGUAACGGCGAGUGAAGCGGCAACAGCUCAAAUUUGAAAUCUGGCUCCUUCGGGGUCCGAGUUGUAAUUUGUAGAGAGUGCUUCGGGCGAGACCUCGGUCUAAGUCCAUUGGAACAUGGUGUCAUAGAGGGUGAGAAUCCCGUAUGCGACCGUGGCUCGAGCCCAUGUGAAGCCUCUUCGACGAGUCGAGUUGUUUGGGAAUGCAGCUCAAAACGGGUGGUAAAUUUCAUCUAAAGCUAAAUACUGGCUGGAGACCGAUAGCGCACAAGUAGAGUGAUCGAAAGAUGAAAAGCACUUUGGAAAGAGAGUCAAACAGUACGUGAAAUUGUUGAAAGGGAAGCGCUUGCAACCAGACCUGCCCGUAGGCGAUCAGCCGCUGUUCUCAGCGGUGCACUCGCUCUGCGAUCAGGCCAGCAUCGGUUUCGGCGGUCGGAUAAAGGCCUUGGGAAUGUAGCUUCCCUUCGGGGGAGUCUUAUAGCCCUCGGUGUAAUGCGGCCAGCCGGGACCGAGGACCGCGCUUCGGCUAGGAUGCUGGCGUAAUGGUUGUAAGCGACCCGUCUUGAAACACGGACCAAGGAGUCUAACAUCUAUGCGAGUGUUUGGGUGUCAAACCCAUACGCGGAAUGAAAGUGAACGGAGGUGAGAACCCUUAAGGGCGCAUCAUCGACCGAUCCAGAUGUCUUCGGAUGGAUUUGAGUAUGAGCAUAGCUGUUGGGACCCGAAAGAUGGUGAACUAUGCCUGAAUAGGGUGAAGCCAGAGGAAACUCUGGUGGAGGCUCGCAGCGGUUCUGACGUGCAAAUCGAUCGUCAAAUUUGGGUAUAGGGGCGAAAGACUAAUC